RNAcentral lists this ribosomal RNA (717 nucleotides) under Triticum aestivum (bread wheat). RNAcentral's name for it is "partial small subunit ribosomal RNA". Lineage: Eukaryota; Viridiplantae; Streptophyta; Magnoliopsida; Poales; Poaceae. The record is from RNAcentral.
CUUUGGACCAAUGAUGUUCAAGUUUGUAUCAAGUUCUCUAAUCACUUUCUUAUCUUAGUUGUGGUUGUAGAUGCUUCUACCCAUGUGGAGUUUGCUUUGGUAUGUGUUUAUGGAGAUCCGCACCACCGCCAGACUCGGUUAAUUUGGGACCAUAUUUCCACUUUUGUGCAUGAUAACUUAGGAAAGCCUGCUGUUUGUUUGGGUGAUCUUAAUAAUAUCAUGUGUGAUAUAGACACUACUUCAGUUAAUGUUAAUAGGUAUCAGAUGCGUGCUUUCAACACCUAUGUUAAGCAAUGUGGUCUUUUUGAUCUCGGAUAUAGUGGUCUGGCUUAUACUUGGACGAAUAAGCAAUUUUCUUCAAAUCCUGUGUUUGAAAGGCUAGAUCGAUGCCUUGUCAAUGCUGAAUGGUGUGGUCGGUUUCCCAACACCAAGGUUUUCAAGUUGCCAAUUAUUCUUAGUGACCAUGCUCCUAUUUUGGUAACCACUGAAUCUCAAUUUCGUAGGCCGAAGCUCCAUUUUAAAUUUGAAAACUGGUGGACAUUUGAAGAUGAUUUCCAAGACGUGGUGACAAAUGCUUGGAACUCUUUUGUUAAUAAGCCUUUCCAUGCCAGGACGACUAACCUUGCAGGAGCAAUAAAGAGGUGGUGUAAAAACAAGAAACCCAUACAGCAACAAAUAGACACAAUUCGAGAACAGAUCAUGCUUGUACAUAUGUAA